RNAcentral lists this ribosomal RNA (271 nucleotides) under Pseudomonas putida. RNAcentral's name for it is "partial 16S ribosomal RNA". It matches the Rfam family "Bacterial small subunit ribosomal RNA", at positions 1102 to 1372 of the family's 1533-position model. The record is from RNAcentral. Lineage: Bacteria; Pseudomonadati; Pseudomonadota; Gammaproteobacteria; Pseudomonadales; Pseudomonadaceae.
CCCUUGUCCUUAGUUACCAGCACGUUAUGGUGGGCACUCUAAGGAGACUGCCGGUGACAAACCGGAGGAAGGUGGGGAUGACGUCAAGUCAUCAUGGCCCUUACGGCCUGGGCUACACACGUGCUACAAUGGUCGGUACAGAGGGUUGCCAAGCCGCGAGGUGGAGCUAAUCUCACAAAACCGAUCGUAGUCCGGAUCGCAGUCUGCAACUCGACUGCGUGAAGUCGGAAUCGCUAGUAAUCGCGAAUCAGAAUGUCGCGGUGAAUACGUU